UACGUAGGGUGCAAGCGUUAAUCGGAAUUACUGGGCGUAAAGCGUGCGCAGGCGGUUAUGUAAGACAGUUGUGAAAUCCCCGGGCUCAACCUGGGAAUUGCAUCUGUGACUGCAUAGCUAGAGUACGGUAGAGGGGGGAUGGAAUUCCGCGUGUAGCAGUGAAAUGCGUAGAUAUGCGGAGGAACACCGAUGGCGAAGGCAAUCCCC
RNAcentral lists this ribosomal RNA (207 nucleotides) under uncultured bacterium. RNAcentral's name for it is "partial 16S ribosomal RNA". It matches the Rfam family "Bacterial small subunit ribosomal RNA", at positions 524 to 729 of the family's 1533-position model. The record is from RNAcentral.